UGACACAAACACAUACUCCCCGGAAUCUCAUAUUUCCGUCAAACUAGCUGACACAACACAACCUUUCUUUACACAAAUCACAACCACUUACUACUGCCUUUCUUUCUUGCACCAUUAUUAUAUUAUUUGGAUACUAAUCUUUAUUUUUACUCUCCUACCAUCAAAAUCCUCCUUUCUAGUUUCUACAAUUAAUUACUCUUUUAUAAUAUCAUGCUAAAAGAAAGUAAACCGGACAGUCCCUAAUAAGCACCUGCUCAGCUCCCCAAAAUCUAUCUUCCACUUCUGUUGAGAAUCUAAGAAGUUCAGUUCAUAUAAACUUGAAGGUGGCGUAGUUGGAGGUUGGAGACCACAGUUGCAGACAUUAAAAGCAAAGGCAGCAGUUAUACAUGGCGUAAAGCACAAGAGGAUAACAAGUCGUUAAUUGGGACGUUCUUUCUUUGUUACCCUACCAUUUACCAACAUUCAGCGGUGAGGGACAGUGCAAAGUGGUGAUAGAGGUGCCUUGUUCCUUGUGGUGAACCUGUGCUUAUUAAUCAUAUUUAUUAUGCAUAUUUAGUUAAAUUCAUUUUAAGAUAUAGUAAUUAUUUUCAUAAAA
Non-coding RNA from Cajanus cajan (pigeon pea), 595 nucleotides. Lineage: Eukaryota; Viridiplantae; Streptophyta; Magnoliopsida; Fabales; Fabaceae. The record is from RefSeq and is a predicted model, not a curated record.